Molecule: ribosomal RNA, 253 nt
Filed under: uncultured Flexispira sp.
Lineage: Bacteria; Pseudomonadati; Campylobacterota; Epsilonproteobacteria; Campylobacterales; Helicobacteraceae
Description: partial 16S ribosomal RNA
Rfam family: Bacterial small subunit ribosomal RNA
Source: RNAcentral
UACGGAGGGUGCAAGCGUUACUCGGAAUCACUGGGCGUAAAGAGUGCGCAGGCGGGCUUGUAAGUCAGAUGUGAAAUCCUGUAGCUUAACUACAGAACUGCAUUUGAAACUAUGAGUCUAGAGUGUGGGAGAGGUAGGUGGAAUUCUUGGUGUAGCGGUGAAAUGCAUAGAUAUCACGCAGAACUCCGAUUGCGAAGGCAGCAUACCGGCGCUCAACUGACGCUCAUGCACGAAAGUGUGGGUAUCGAACAGG